AAACUUUCAACAACGGAUCUCUUGGUUCUGGCAUCGAUGAAGAACGCAGCGAAAUGCGAUAAGUAAUGUGAAUUGCAGAAUUCAGUGAACCAUCGAAUCUUUGAACGCACAUUGCGCCCGCCAGCACUCUGGCGGGCAUGCCUGUCCGAGCGUCAUU
This 157-nucleotide ribosomal RNA is filed under the name Purpureocillium atypicola. RNAcentral's name for it is "5.8S ribosomal RNA". It matches the Rfam family "5.8S ribosomal RNA". Rfam says of the family: 5.8S ribosomal RNA (5.8S rRNA) is a component of the large subunit of the eukaryotic ribosome. It is transcribed by RNA polymerase I as part of the 45S precursor that also contains 18S and 28S rRNA. Lineage: Eukaryota; Fungi; Ascomycota; Sordariomycetes; Hypocreales; Ophiocordycipitaceae. The record is from RNAcentral.